AGUGGAAUGCAACAGCUGUUUGACAGGAACAUUGUUCCACCCGGGUGCCAUCUCCUUGGACAUAAAGGCUACCCACAACGACGCUGGCUUCUCACACCAUUCCCAAGACCACAACCAGGGGCCCAACAAAAUUACAACAGGGCUCACCGAUGCACCCGAAGUAUUGUGGAGAGGGGCAUCGACCAAUGGAAACGCCGGUUCCAUGUCCUUCACGGGGAAAUCCGCCAAACACCACAAAAGGCUAGCAAUAUUAUAAUGGCAUGUGCAAAAUGCGCAACAUUCGUCUCCCCCCUGAUGAGGGAGAUCAUAAUGAUGAUGAUGAUGACAACCACCCUCCUAACAUCCCAUUUGCCUCUGAUGCCAUUGUGUUUAGGCAGAACUUUGCCAACCUUCCUUUUGGUGCAUCCAUGUCCUCCACCUCGUCCGGGUUGAGCCGUGGAGUGGCAGUGGCCAGUGGGGGCUCAGGGAGCCGGGGCUCUGGGCCUGCUGCUGGAGAGGGAAUGCCAGAUGGUCCUGGAAGCUCCACAGGCAGCUCAUGAGGGGACGAGAUGGUGUUUUCAUCUACAUUACUGAAAAACAGAAUUCAUUUUGUUAAUUUAGUUUAUUCUUGUGUAUAUGCAUUUGUAUCAAUAAAAUAAGUAUUGAGUAUUGA
Molecule: long non-coding RNA, 652 nt
Organism: Anguilla rostrata (American eel)
Lineage: Eukaryota; Metazoa; Chordata; Actinopteri; Anguilliformes; Anguillidae
Exons: 3
Source: RefSeq, a predicted model, not a curated record